Molecule: long non-coding RNA, 851 nt
Filed under: Bos indicus x Bos taurus (hybrid cattle)
Lineage: Eukaryota; Metazoa; Chordata; Mammalia; Artiodactyla; Bovidae
Description: lncRNA (ENSBIXG00005022671.1)
Source: RNAcentral
AGCAAGAGGGGGAUGUGGUCCCUUCUUCGACUCAUAGUGGGUCCUGGGAUGUCCCUGCUGAUCUCAGUCAACUGGCCUCACUCCUUGCCUCUCACUUCUCUCAGUAAACCAAGCAGGAAGAAUUUGGGAGCCCGAGCCUGACAGCCUUCCUGGAGCUGCUGAGGCAGACAGUGAGGGCACUCUGGGGCUCCUUCUUGUGUGCUGAGUGAUCCUCUCUGUCCUCUAUCCCUGCCUUCCUCUGACCGUAAUGCUGCUUUAUGUCCCGUCUGCUGACCUGAGGGCAAGACCUCACCUGGAAGAUGUCAAAUCCACAGACGCCUGGUGAGAAGUGCACCGGCAUCUCAUCUGGACGAUUCUGCCUAAGGCUUCCUGGAAAUGGCUGCUGCAGGGGUGGGAGAAGCUGCUGGACGUGGCCGUGGAACAUGCCUGGUGGUGCCAGGCCUGGCUGGAACUGUGGCUCGAGCUCUCUCCUCCUCAUCUUGCAAAGCUUCUUCAUAUUGUGAUGAGAAGGCACUGGGGACUGUAUCAUUGACUUUUGCCAAAAAUUCCAAGACUUUCAUUUUGCUGGUUUCAGCAUGGGCUCGUGGGCCCCACAGGAACUCAUAACGUGGAGGAUCGCUGUUGGCAACCUGGCGGUACUCCAGGUACUUCAUCGUCACAAAGUCUUUGGUGAUGAGCUUCCUGGGCUCUCCGUAGAUGAAGUGUUUUCUCCCAGCAUAUACUCGCAUCAUAUUCAAGAAUUUCCAGAUAUCUUCCUCAGCGGCACAGUUGCCCUUCACGAAGACCACACCCAGAACUGUCAUCAAGAGACCGGUCUUAGAUAUAUUCCAGGUUUACAGACUCACCUCUGA